AGAGGUAUAGGGCAUGGGAAAA
Molecule: microRNA, 22 nt
Filed under: Macaca mulatta (Rhesus monkey)
Lineage: Eukaryota; Metazoa; Chordata; Mammalia; Primates; Cercopithecidae
Also listed under: 4 other names
Description: Mml-Mir-202_3p* (star (passenger))
Source: RNAcentral